GUGGUUUCCUUGUCUACCUAAAUAUUUUAUAGAUUUAACAACUUAAGUAUAUGGUAUGGUUCUAUCUUAGCUAUUCUUUUUCCAAUAUUUACAAGGUUAUGGAGUCAAUAACUCUGUUUGUUUUGAAUAUUUCUUUUGCUUUUAAGAUAAACCUUUAUCCAUUCCUUUGCCCAUUGUUAAACUUGGAUAAAUAUAUCUUGGAUAUCAUGGAAAUAGUAUUUAAGUACUCCUAGUAGAUUAAUCCUCAUAUCAUGCCUUUUUAUUUUUGAUUUUUGUGAUAUUCUCUUUGCUUUAUCAGGUGAAUAUUUAUAUACUCCUUUACUUAUUUAUUGGUCUUUUCUAAAAAUGCUAGAUAGUACUAUUAUAUACAUGUUGUCUUUGGUUCUUUGAUGUUAUUAGAGUAUUGCGCUUACUGAGAUUACUUUGUAUGAAUUGCUUUGACAAAUGAGGGAGGCUGCUUAUUCAAAAUUUUAUCUUGCUACUGAGUUUUUUGUUUCAGCUAUUGUGUCUUUUAAAAAGCAGGUUGAAUAACAAACAAAUUUUGAUCCAUCUGUUGAGAUGUUGAUCCGUUUACUUUGUGUUAUUCCUGGCUGGAAUGAGAAAAAUGUUCAGGUCCAGCAACAAGUUAUUGAUAUUGUCACUCACAUUGCUGCGACAGCAUCAAAGUUUCCUAAAGAUGUGUGUUGUGCUUUGCCUUUCAGGUAUCACUCAUAGAGUAGCUGACGUAAAGACUCGUGUUCAGGCCAUGAAGUGUCUUUCCACUUAUUGUGAAGAUGUGGGUCUUGGUUUUAUUUUUGAGAGGUCAUGCUUAAACAUGAAAUCUAAUGAGGCUAUUGCCUUGGUAUGCGGCCUUGGUGUAACCUCAGAUGAGAUUUCCUCGUGCCCUACGCAGAGGAGCGCCUUAGUAAAACCAUGAUAUUGGUAUUUGGUUGCAUUGGGGUCGCUCAAAAGAGGUAUUUCUGUCUGAUGUUAAAAACCUGCUUUACUACGAGGCAUCUGCAAUUCCAAAGAAGGUUGUUAAAGUAACUUAUUCUACAUCAUCUGCGGUGACUGGCAUGGAUCGUCUUCCACGUGAAGAUAUAGUGAAAUGAUCACUCCCACUUUGUUUUAGAGAGUUCUGAUUGGAAGGUCCGCUUGGAAUCUAUUGAAAGCUUAACCAAAAUUCUAGAAGAGGUGAACAAACUUAUUCUGCUCGCUGGAACUGGUGCGCUAGUCGAAAAUCUGAAAUAACUAAGGCUCAAAUUUUGUAUAUUGAGUAUAUAAUUAUCUACAUGAUUGUUAUUUCAAAAUGAUUGUUAUUUCAAAAUCAGAAAUAGUGAUUAGUAACG
Molecule: non-coding RNA, 1328 nt
Organism: Salvia hispanica
Lineage: Eukaryota; Viridiplantae; Streptophyta; Magnoliopsida; Lamiales; Lamiaceae
Source: RefSeq, a predicted model, not a curated record